CGCAUCUUGCACUCCAUGGUAUUCCGUGGAGUAUGCCUGUUCGAGUGUCACGUCAACCCUCACCCUUGUGAUGUCAAAGUCGCUUGAGGUGGAUUUGGACCGUGCCGUAGUUGGCUCGUCCUGAAAUGCAUUAGCUUGCGCUUUUAGAGUGCCGGGCACAGGUGUGAUAAUUAUCCGCGCCGCCGCUCAAGCCUCUUCAGUGGUGCUGCUUAUAGUCGUCCCGACGGACAUUAUUAAAGCUUUGGCCUCGAAUCAGGUAGGAUUACCCGCUGAACUUAA
RNAcentral lists this unclassified non-coding RNA (279 nucleotides) under Exidiopsis sp. RNAcentral's name for it is "partial contains 5.8S ribosomal RNA, internal transcribed spacer 2, and large subunit ribosomal RNA". The record is from RNAcentral. Lineage: Eukaryota; Fungi; Basidiomycota; Agaricomycetes; Auriculariales; Exidiaceae.